GGCGCACGGGUGAGUAACACGUAGGUGACCUGCCCUGGAGUGGGGGAUAACUUCUCGAAAGAGAGGCUAAUACCGCAUACGCUCGGCCAUUCGGUUGGUCGAGUAAAGCUCCGGCGCUCCAGGAGGGGCCUGCGUCCGAUUAGCUAGUUGGUGAGGUAAUGGCUCACCAAGGCGAUGAUCGGUAGCUGGUCUGAGAGGACGAUCAGCCACACUGGCACUGACACACGGGCCAGACUCCUACGGGAGGCAGCAGUGAGGAAUAUUGGUCAAUGGGCGAAAGCCUGAACCAGCAACGCCGCGUGAGGGAUGAAGGCCUUC
Molecule: ribosomal RNA, 318 nt
Filed under: uncultured bacterium
Lineage: Bacteria
Description: bacterial SSU rRNA
Rfam family: Bacterial small subunit ribosomal RNA
Source: RNAcentral